GACGAACGCUGGCGGCGUGCCUAAUACAUGCAAGUAGAACGCACAGUUUAUACCGUAGCUUGCUACACCAUAAACUGUGAGUUGCGAACGGGUGAGUAACGCGUAGGUAACCUGCCUGGUAGCGGGGGAUAACUAUUGGAAACGAUAGCUAAUACCGCAUAAUAUUGAUUAUUGCAUGAUAAUUGAUUGAAAGAUGCUAUUGCAUCACUACCAGAUGGACCCGCGUUGCAUUAGCUAGUAGGUGAGGUAACGGCUCACCUAGGCGACGAUACAUAGCCGACCUGAGAGGGUGGUCGGCCACACUGGGACUGAGACACGGCCCAGACUCCUACGGGAGGCAGCAGUAGGGAAUCUUCGGCAAUGGACGAAAGUCUGACCGAGCAACGCCGCGUGAGUGAAGAAGGUUUUCGGAUCGUAAAGCUCUGUUGUAAGAGAAGAACGGGUGUGAGAGUGGAAAGUUCACACUGUGACGGUAUCUUACCAGAAAGGGACGGCUAACUACGUG
RNAcentral lists this ribosomal RNA (505 nucleotides) under uncultured bacterium. RNAcentral describes it as "partial 16S ribosomal RNA". It matches the Rfam family "Bacterial small subunit ribosomal RNA", at positions 28 to 507 of the family's 1533-position model. The record is from RNAcentral.